CCGUAUCUAUUGUUGACGAGCUACAAAACCUGCUCAAUCUUUCCCUCAAAAAACCUGCCGAAUUAAUGGCCAUUGAAAAACAAAGACAUAUCCGUAAUCCUAGGAAAACAAAUAUGUUUCCUCUAAUCUCACCUUCAUCGCAGCAAAAUCCUCUCCCUCUCCACUCGUUUAUCAGAAAAUUAGAGCCGUUAAUCUGGUGGGACCGAGUUAUAACAACCAGAUUUAAUCUAGGAGCCAACUAGGAAGCCGCGCCGCACCCACGUAUUCCCGUGCGGCGGCUGCUAUAUGC
This 289-nucleotide long non-coding RNA is filed under the name Hordeum vulgare. RNAcentral describes it as "long non-coding RNA (HVUL_LNC019784)". Lineage: Eukaryota; Viridiplantae; Streptophyta; Magnoliopsida; Poales; Poaceae. The record is from RNAcentral.